AGAGCCUCUCAGGGCCCCAAGACUCCAGGAAGAAACAAGUAUUGUAGAAGCCAAAACCCCAAGGCAAGGUAAAGAAAACAGAACUGUCCGCAUCCCCAGCAAUGAUUUCACUGGCAGGAGUUGCUGGGGGCGGGGUGGGGGGUCCGGUAUAUGUUCCAGCAGAGCUGUUUUACUUACUUCUCAACCAAAAGGCCCUUCUCUUUUACUCUUUAUAGGGGUAUCCUUUUGCCUUUCAAGAUUUGAACUUUCAAAACUUGACCUUAGAGUCAGUCUUGCUUGCUAACCCAUAAUACAACUUUGCACCUUUUAUUACUUUUGUUUGUUUUUGUACUGGCUUCUAUUAAAAUACUUCCUUAGUUAACUUAUUUUUGUUUACUCUACCCUGUCAUCCGGGGAGGAGCUAUUGAAAGAAAAAAACCUCUAAAUAGAAAUAUAUCACCAGCAGCACAAGUGGACUACAGCCUCGGAAAUGUCCUCACCGUCCGGCUUCAUGGCAAGCAGCCUGGCUGUUGGCAAGAUGCGCCCAGCUCUGCUUCUGCUCGUGUGGAACCUUACAUUACCCUAACGCAGCUGGGGCACAAGCCGUCUGUGCUUAUACUAUUCUUCUUAAGCUUGGAGACACACUCACCUUGAGAUCUCUCCUCUUUUUCAUCUAGACACUGGCAAGUCCUGUUCUGAGCUUAGCAAUGCCAAGUACCUGAACUGGAGGCAUGGCUGGCUGAUCCCUUCUAGCUCCCUCCAGUAGUGUCCCACCUUGGCUAUAUCAGUAACUGCGCCUCCUGUUAUUUCUCCUUCCCAGUUGUCAAGGUCAAACCUGGGCUGGAUAUUGUGAUGUCACAGAGUGGAAUCCUCACUCCUCCAGAUGGUCCAGCUGAGGCCCUCUUGGACAACACUUCCUCUCCUGCCCAUGGUGGGAGGUUGGGAAGGACAUUCCCCCAUUUCCAUUUGCUCUGCCAUUCAAAACCUUGUGAGGGCCCUCAGGGAAGAAUCCCUUUGCAGGUCAUAAACUGACCUGCAGAAUUAUGGGAUCUUAACUGUGGGGAGAGACCUAGAAGACCGGCUAGUGACCAGAUUCUCAUCUAACUCCUUUUUUUUUGCAGAUGAGGAAACUGAGGCCCCACGUGGUGAAGACAAUUUUUACCCGAAUCCACCCACAACAAGAGACCAUUUGGAUAAUGUACAUUAUGGGAAGAGAACAGAGUCUCAGUGAAGAUCAUGUUUCCCCAGCAACACAGGUGCCAGGAGUAGCUGGCUCUGGUCCCAGCCCAGACUCAGAAAUCCUGAGCCACCAGACCAUUUCUAGAUUAACAAGUAAGGUGACUUCUGAGCAACUAAUGUUUUCAUUGAGAUUUGAUGAUAAGCAGCAAAGCUCAAAUGAAAGUCCAGAGUUAGUGUUGGCAGGGCGAGAUGGCUCAUGCCUGUAAUCCCAGCACUUUGGGAGGCUGAGGUGGGAGGAUCACUUGAGCCCAGGAGUUUGAGACCAGCCCGAGCUAUAUAGUGAGACCCUAUCUCUACAAAAAAUACAAAAAUUAGCUGGGCGUAGUUGUGCGUGCCUGUAGUUCUAACUACUCAGGAGGCUGACAGGGGAUGAUCGCUUAAACCCAAGAUAUCGAAGCUGCAAUGAGUUGAGAUUGCACCACUGCACUCCAGCCUGGACGGCAGAAUGAAACCUUGUCUAAAACACACACACACACACACACACACACACACACACACACACACACACACACACACACACAGAGUAUUGAUUACAGCGCUAUACCAGGUUCUAGUGUUGAGUAAGGGACAGGGAGGAGCAAUCUGUAAAGAAAUAGAGUCUCACUGGAAUUUCAUUCUUCAUUAUUUCAUACCCUUCACUUUUUCUAGACGCUAACCCCAUAUGAUACUAAAAAGUAUCUGUAUUGCAUCAGACGACGUAUCUGUGAAGUCAGAGAAUUGUGCUUUAAGAAUCUCUCAAGAGGAGAACAUAUAUUGGGCUUUCAUAAUACCAAUAACAUUUUACAUCAUGCUUCAUUUACAAGCUAUUUUCACACAUAUCACUCUAUUUAAUCUUCACAACUUGGUGAGAUAAACAAAGUAUUAUUUUCAGUAUAAUUUUCUGGAUGAGAAAAUUAUAGCUUAGAGAAGUUGUGUCUUGCACGAGAUCACAAAGCUAAUUAAGUGGAAAGGUUACUUAACAUUAACUACAAACCAGAUCUUCCACCAAGCCUUUUCCCCACCACAGGGCUUUGCUGGUUGGGGAGAAAUUGUCAUUUGGUCCCAGAACACACUUGAAGGCCACUGCCUUAAGCAACCCUUUGAGUAACAAGGAAGAAAGUAUUCCCGUAGGUCAUAAAUACUGCUUUACUAACUUCCUA
This 2357-nucleotide long non-coding RNA is filed under the name Homo sapiens (human). RNAcentral's name for it is "non-protein coding lnc-PDE7A-6:7". The record is from RNAcentral. Lineage: Eukaryota; Metazoa; Chordata; Mammalia; Primates; Hominidae.